RNAcentral lists this non-coding RNA (21 nucleotides) under Rattus norvegicus (Norway rat). Lineage: Eukaryota; Metazoa; Chordata; Mammalia; Rodentia; Muridae. The record is from RNAcentral.
UGAAUUAGCAAUGCCAAGAGA